CAGUGCCGGACACAUGCAUGUCGAACGCCCCGCAAGGGGAGUAACAGACGGGUGAGUAACACGUGGGAACGUACCCUUUGGUUCGGAACAACCCUGGGAAACUAGGGCUAAUACCGGAUACGCGCGAGAGCGGAAAGGUUUACCGCCGAAGGAUCGGCCCGCGUCUGAUUAGCUAGUUGGUGAGGUAACGGCUCACCAAGGCGACGAUCAGUAGCUGGUCUGAGAGGAUGAUCAGCCACAUUGGGACUGAGACACGGCCCAAACUCCUACGGGAGGCAGCAGUGGGGAAUAUUGGACAAUGGGCGCAAGCCUGAUCCAGCCAUGCCGCGUGAGUGAUGACGGCCCUAGGGUUGUAAAGCUCUUUUACCUGGGAAGAUAAUGACGGUACCAGGAGAAUAAGCCCCGGCUAACUUCGUGCCAGCAGCCGCGGUAAU
RNAcentral lists this ribosomal RNA (434 nucleotides) under uncultured bacterium. Its description in RNAcentral is "bacterial SSU rRNA". It matches the Rfam family "Bacterial small subunit ribosomal RNA", at positions 43 to 524 of the family's 1533-position model. The record is from RNAcentral.